Small nucleolar RNA from Lycium barbarum (goji berry), 107 nucleotides. RefSeq annotates it as small nucleolar RNA Z279/snoR105/snoR108. The record is from RefSeq and is a predicted model, not a curated record. The transcript has a single exon. NCBI's taxonomy places the organism in Eukaryota, Viridiplantae, Streptophyta, Magnoliopsida, Solanales, Solanaceae.
GGGAUAUGAUGAGUGGUCAUUGCUGGCUAUUAGAUCUGCCAGAAGUGCGUCCAGGCCCAGCCUGGUUACGACAAUUUGGGCGCUCUCAUUAGUACCAAUCUGAUCCC